Molecule: non-coding RNA, 1285 nt
Filed under: Pan troglodytes (chimpanzee)
Lineage: Eukaryota; Metazoa; Chordata; Mammalia; Primates; Hominidae
Source: RNAcentral
AAUGACGCGAAACUCCUGCCUUAAAGCCCUAAAUGGCGGCUUCAAUAUCAGCCCCACUGAGCAUGAAAUUCAUUUACUUAAAUAAAAUCUGAAUCUCAGCCCAAACCUGGGAGAUUCAAAACCUGAGAGCGGUCUUACCAAAGACGCCCGUAUGUCUGGUGAAGUCAGUUGGAUGCAAGCAGUUUGUGCUGGUACCAGGGCCCCAGCUACUGAUGAAGUGGCAGGAGUCCACGGAAGCCUACUUCGAAGUUCCCGGGGCUUCCAGGGGAGAUUGACGAGAUUCCUGGGGAGGCGAUUCAUGACAGCUGAGUUCCUUUUGGAGGAUCCGUCUUCAGGCAGUCUGAUCCCCCAGGAAAGCAGCUGGAAAACAAGAGCAUGUGAAGGAAGCGCGGCAGCUCCUCGCCAGCCAGCCAGCCAGCCCCGCACCACAGGAGUCGACAUGCACGGCAGCCUAGACGCCAUCAGUUAAACUUAUAUGUAGGCUUGUUGAGGAAAACGACUUUCAAACACAAGGCAAAAGAAAAACAUGAAACCAAGGGUUCCAACAUUCAUCACCCAGUUUCAGAGACACCCUUGUAGGAAUGCUACAGCCUCUUUCUUACCCAUUCAAACCAGUCGCUCUGCUGCAUACCCACAUCACAGGAGGCCCUCAGCCCCGACACACAGGCUCACUCAGCCCAGACACACAGGCUCACUCAGCCCAGGGACAUCAGCACCUGUGCCAGCUCCGCAAGGUAUCCACCACGUGGCCAGAACUGAGGCCCAGCAAUAGCUGAAAUGUCCUUUAAAUUAACAUGUACAACACACAACCCCCAAGAGCUGACAUCCCCAAAGCCCCACCACAAAUAGCUGACUCCUACUUAUACCUGCAGGAGCAGGUACUGACCUCUGCAAUUCUAAACCGUCCACUUUGGGCAAAAUUCAUCAAGCUAUGGAUAUGAAAAAAGGCCCCCAAGGAUAUGAUUCAUAGUCCAGCGUUUGAGUGAGCACUCCAGUCAGAACGAACUCUGCAUUGUGAACAUCUGAACAGGGUGGAAACAGACACUUGUUAGAGAUCCACUGCUGUGCGUGCACACAUACUCACACAGGGCAAUGACGGACUCGCUGGCGGACUCCACUCUACCCACCGAGUUCUGCUUGUGCUCCAUGAGCUUCCGGAAAGAUGGCUGCUUGGAUAACACCUUUCCUCCUGCACACUCUACAAUUGCCUUCAUAGUGGAAAGACUUGGGCAGAUUCCAGGUGUGAUGUAAAAAUAUUUUGCCUAAAAUUAAAUGAAAAUAUAUG